This 426-nucleotide ribosomal RNA is filed under the name uncultured bacterium. Its description in RNAcentral is "bacterial SSU rRNA". It matches the Rfam family "Bacterial small subunit ribosomal RNA", at positions 506 to 930 of the family's 1533-position model. The record is from RNAcentral.
CGCCAGCAGCCGCGGUAAAACGUAGGAGGCGAGCGUUAUCCGGAUUUACUGGGUGUAAAGCGCAUGCAGGCGGUUCGCUAAGUUGGGUGUGAAAGCUCCCGGCUCAACUGGGAGAGGUCGCUCAAGACUGGCGGGCUCGAGCGUGGUAGGGGAAGGCGGAAUUCCGGGUGUAGUGGUGAAAUGCGUAGAUAUCCGGAGGAACACCAGUGGCGAAGGCGGCCUUCUGGGCCACGACUGACGCUCAGAUGCGAAAGCUAGGGGAGCAAACGGGAUUAGAGACCCCGGUAGUCCUAGCUGUAAACGAUGUGAACUUGGCGCCUGGGGGGUAAAACCCCGGGGUGCCGCAGCCAACGCGAUAAGUUCACCACCUGGGGACUACGGCCGCAAGGUUAAAACUCAAAGGAAUUGACGGGGGCCCGCACAAGC